This is a long non-coding RNA of Eriocheir sinensis (Chinese mitten crab), 3173 nucleotides long. RefSeq lists it as uncharacterized. NCBI's taxonomy places the organism in Eukaryota, Metazoa, Arthropoda, Malacostraca, Decapoda, Varunidae. The record is from RefSeq and is a predicted model, not a curated record. The transcript has 3 exons.
AAAUCUUGAAUGAAAUAAAAGAAAACUUGCAGCUUCUUGAAGUCCCCGCAUCACGUAAUUUUUUGUUGGUGUAAGGGGAGGCCGUUGCAAAGGCUGUCUCCCCGACCGUCAACUGAACUUCAACUGAACUGUCAGCUGCUGAACUGAACACGCAGCUUACAGUCGCCGUAGCUGCACCGCCGUACAUUUUCUUAAAAUUGGUGGGAGACUGGAUAUCUUUGGAUCACCAAACAGAUUGCAUCUUUAUAGAGACAUCCUGCACCUGACUCACCGCUCAGUUGCAGUGGACUACCCAUUUACCUUGAUACCAGCUUACAACUCAAGAUAAUUGUUAUACUAACUAAAUAUAUCUGCAGUCAGCACAACUCAGCCAACUACUAAGAAGACCUUGGCAGUUAACCAUUGGUUCCUGUGGCUCCUAUUGUCUGUAUGUAGGAACCAUCAUCUCGGUGCAACACACAUUUAAAUAGUGCAACCUGAUUUGCCCUUCCAAACAUCAUAUACUGGUAACAAAGCCGUGAGUCUUGAAACUGCAAAUCAGACUUCUUGCCAUGGCAUAAGAGUGUAAGCAAAACUAAUGAUACUAUACUGUCUAUUUGUAGCUUGCAACUGGAUCCUAUGCUGCUUUUGUAAGCUUGUAGUAGAUUGGACAGUGGCCUGAGGCAGCCUUUUCCCACACAUCCUAGAAACAGACCUCGCCACAUUGCAAGUGCAAGUUUUUCUUUUAUGCUGUGUAGCCCACUCACAUAAUAAAUAUUUGGUUUCGUCAUCACUGGAUAGUAGAAAGAUUGCAGAUUACGACAGUGUUAUAAACCACAUCAAUUGACUAAAUAUAUAUAAAAAAGAGAUAAUGCAAGUUGAAGCCAAAGCCAGGGUUAUAAAAAUUUAAACGGGCUUUAAUUCCUUGCUGAUUUUUUCUUGGAAUUUUUAGGCUACUGUAAAACAAACAAUACCAUCUGAUGAAGAAAAUGCUCCUGAAGAUGAUGGUGUCAACAGAUUAUCAAUAUGUUAGAAAGGAAGGGAGGUAAGCAAGUUGCCUACAACUUUGUAUAAAACUUGCUUACCUCCAUUCCUCUCUAACUUAUCAAUAAUCUGUUGACACUAUCACCUUCAGCAACCUUUUCUUUAUCAGGUGGCAUUCUUAGUUUUUAAUAGCUUAAUAAUUCUAUGAAAAAAUCAGCAUGGAAUAAAAAGCGGUAUGAACAUUUAUGACCCCGUCUUGGACUUCAACUCGCUUUAUUUCCCUUAUUUUUUGUCAAUCUAAGUUGUUUUUUACACAGUUGUAAUCUGCAAUCUAUCUACUGUCCAGUGAUGAAGAAACCCAGUAUGUAUUAUGUGACAUGAGUGGGCUACAGAGCAUAAAAGUAAAGCUUGAAGUGUGGGGAGGUCUGUUUCUACGAUGCAUAUGAGAAAGCUGCCUCAGGCCACUGUCCAAUCAGUUAAGAGUUUACAAAAGUAGCCUAGGUUCCAGUUGCAAGCUACAAAUAGACAGAGUAAAGAACCUCAUUCUGACCCUUUGUCAAAUUGAUUUGGUGUUAGAUAUUGCUUGUAGUAAAUUGAGAUUAAUUUAAAUUUUAACAUUUUGCAUGAAGUCCAUCAGCUAAAACUGCAAAUUCAAUUUUAUUUUCUUAGCAGGUCACCCGUGAAGUCUUGCAGCAACACUGUAAUAUACUUGUUGGCCAGCAGAUUCCCUGAACAAAGUCUGCUGUGUUGCUGAGGCCAUGGAUCAUCAUUGGACUAACUACUGGUGAAGUACUGGAGCAUGAGAAUGUUUCCCAAAGUAGUAAUGUACAUGCAUGGUUAGCUCUCUCAGCAAUGAGCGACAACAUGGUUGGCAGAAAUAUAAGCCGGGUACAUGACCUGGGACAUGUUGGUGAUGACAGCAAUACCACACCUUUUCUUUUUUGUGCCAAUGUAUUAUGCUGACCCUCAACCGUUACAGUGAAACACAAUCUGAGCCAACACUCACCCUUAGUAUUCUUGUAGUUUGUGUGGGGAGUGGACAUAUGUCUUAUUGGUCAGGAAUCCUUUCUCUCCUGAUUAUAAGUUUAUCUGAGCUUAGGGGCAUGUGAUGUGUCAGGAUGGGAUGGAGAAAGUAAUGACAGCGUGUAUGAGUGGUUUGGUAUGGGUGCGACAGCGAAAGGAGUGGAGUGUGGAGUGGAGUGGGUGAAGUGUGGUGCAUUAAGGUGAUUUGGACACGUGAUGAGAAUGGGGGAGAAUGAAUUCGUGAAGAGAGCGUAUGAGGGAAGGAUUGAGGGAGGGGAUGUCAAAGGAAGACCACCUGUGAAGUGGAUCAAUAGGGUGAGUGAGUAUUUGAGUGUGAGAGUUGGAAGUAGCAGGAUUGAAUGUGCUGAGAGGGAGUGCCAGAACAGGGAGAGAUGGAGACACUUCUGCUGCGGCCAGUUACAGGGGAACAAGUUUACUCAGUGUGGCAAGAAAAGUGUAUGGAAGGGUUUUAAAUGAGAGGAUGAAGAAAAUAACUGAGAAAAGUGUAGGCAAUGAACAAAGGGGUUUUAGGAAAGGGAGGGGUUGUGUAGACCAAAUAUUUGCAGCAAAAAUGUUAGUUGAAAAAUACCUAGAGAAGGAUAGGAAGCUGUUUGUUGCUUUCAUGGACCUAGAGAUGGUAUAUGACAGGGUUGACAGGAAGGGUUUAUGGGAUGCUCAAAGGAUAUAUGGUGUGGGAGGGCAUCUGCUGGAGGGAAUCAGAUCCCUCUAUAAGGAUGCGAGUGUCUCUGUACACGUAAAUGGUGAGUUUUGGUGUUGGUGUGGGUGUGAGACAGGGGUGUGCUAUGUCACUAUGUCUUUUUAAUGUGUACAUGGAUGGUUGUAUGAGAGAAAUGAAAGCCAGAGUGGGGGAGUGGGGUCUAAGGCUAAAAGUGAGAGGUACAGAGGGAAAAUUUAGGGUCACUUGUGAAAAUCAUGAGGGGUAAAGGGAGGAUUAAGAGAUGGGGUAUCUGCUAGUCUUAUCAUUUACCUCUAUAAUCUAGACACAGAUUGGGCCCCCUCCUACCUCUCCAUGUAUUAAUUCCAUACAAUGCAAGCAACUUUACUGACUGUCUCCCUGCCAGAGAGAGGCAGAGGGUAAAGCAAAAUUUGCAAGAAACUAUACUAAUGCUAAUCUUUUGUGCAUCAGAUUAUGUGCCUUACUCCAUCUACUUUAUGCAUGGUCAGUU